Molecule: ribosomal RNA, 425 nt
Filed under: uncultured bacterium
Lineage: Bacteria
Description: partial 16S ribosomal RNA
Rfam family: Bacterial small subunit ribosomal RNA
Source: RNAcentral
GUGGGGAAUCUUGCGCAAUGGACGAAAGCCUGACGCAGCCAUGCCGCGUGAAUGAUGUAGGUCUUAGGAUUGUAAAAUUCUUUCACCGGGGACGAUAAUGACGGUACCCGGAGAAGAAGCCCCGGCUAACUUCGUGCCAGCAGCCGCGGUAAUACGAAGGGGGCUAGCGUUGCUCGGAAUUACUGGGCGUAAAGGGCGCGUAGGCGGACAGUUUAGUCAGAGGUGAAAGCCCAGGGCUCAACCUUGGAAUUGCCUUUGAUACUGGCUGUCUUGAGUACGGGAGAGGUGAGUGGAACUCCGAGUGUAGAGGUGAAAUUCGUAGAUAUUCGGAAGAACACCAGUGGCGAAGGCGACUCACUGGCCCGUUACUGACGCUGAGGCGCGAAAGCGUGGGGAGCAAACAGGAUUAGAAACCCCUGUAGUCC